This 402-nucleotide ribosomal RNA is filed under the name uncultured bacterium. Its description in RNAcentral is "partial 16S ribosomal RNA". It matches the Rfam family "Archaeal small subunit ribosomal RNA", at positions 473 to 873 of the family's 1478-position model. The record is from RNAcentral.
ACACCGGCAGCUCAAGUGGUAGCCGCUUUUAUUGGGCCUAAAGCGUCCGUAGCCGGUCUGAUAAGUCUCUGGUGAAAUCCCGCAGCUUAACUGUGGGAAUUGCUGGAGAUACUAUCAUGACUCGAGGUCGGGAGAGGCUGGAGGUACUCCCAGGGUAGGGGUGAAAUCCUGUAAUCCUGGGAGGACCACCUGUGGCGAAGGCGUCCAGCUGGAACGAACCUGACGGUGAGGGACGAAAGCCAGGGGCGCGAACCGGAUUAGAUACCCGGGUAGUCCUGGCCGUAAACGAUGUGGACUUGGUGUUGGGAUGGCUUCGAGCUGCCCCAGUGCCGAAGGGAAGCUGUUAAGUCCACCGCCUGGGAAGUACGGCCGCAAGGCUGAAACUCAAAUGAAUUGGCGGGG